Molecule: long non-coding RNA, 370 nt
Filed under: Eutrema salsugineum
Lineage: Eukaryota; Viridiplantae; Streptophyta; Magnoliopsida; Brassicales; Brassicaceae
Description: long non-coding RNA (ESAL_LNC001972)
Source: RNAcentral
ACAGCCCAACUUUUUUCGCAAGUCGCUGUAAAGUUGAUCUUGCUCCUUUUUUAUAUACACACACAUCUUCUCCUCCCUCUCACACCUUCCUCUUCAAUCCUCCAUUUUCUUCAAACCCUGAAAAAAGAAGGGUUUUCAAAGAUCAAUCAAGAUUUUGCUAAAAAAAAACAAGAAGCCAAACCAUUUACUCAGAUCAAACAUGCUCGCCGUUCACCGUCCUUCUUCCGCCGUAUCCGACGGAGAUUCCGUCCAGAUUCCGAUGAUGAUCGCUUCUUUUCAAAAACGUUUCCCUUCCAUCUCACGCGAUUCAACCGCCGCUCGUUUCCACACGCACGAGGUCGGUCCUAACCAGUGUUGCUCCGCCGUCAUC